ACUCAAAGGAAUUGACGGGGGCCCGCACAAGCAGUGGAGCAUGUGGUUUAAUUCGAUGCAACACGAAGAACCUUACCUGGGCUCGAAAUGCAGAUGGCGAUUGCAGAGAUGCAAUUUUCCGCAAGGACGUCUGUAUAGGUGCUGCAUGGCUGUCGUCAGCUCGUGCCGUGAGGUGUUGGGUUAAGUCCCGCAACGAGCGCAACCCUUAUCAUUAGUUGCCAACGCGUAAUGGCGGGGACUCUAAUGAGACUGCCUGGGUUAACCAGGAGGAAGGUGAGGAUGAUGUCAAGUCCGCAUGGCCUUUAUGUCCAGGGCUACACACGUGCUACAAUGGUCGGUACAGAGGGUAGCAAAUCCGCAAGGUGGAGCAAAUCCCAGAAAGCCGAUCUCAGUUCAGAUUGUGGUCUGCAACUCGACCACAUGAAGUUGGAAUUGCUAGUAAUGGCGUGUCAGCUAUAACGCCGUGAAUACGUUCCCGGGCCUUGUACACACCGCCCGU
This 499-nucleotide ribosomal RNA is filed under the name uncultured bacterium. RNAcentral's name for it is "partial 16S ribosomal RNA". It matches the Rfam family "Bacterial small subunit ribosomal RNA", at positions 899 to 1397 of the family's 1533-position model. The record is from RNAcentral.